Molecule: long non-coding RNA, 2189 nt
Organism: Ostrea edulis (European flat oyster)
Lineage: Eukaryota; Metazoa; Mollusca; Bivalvia; Ostreida; Ostreidae
Exons: 2
Source: RefSeq, a predicted model, not a curated record
UGAGCAACGUCGUAUCGAAUUGGAAAACCGCUAUAAAUCAUUUCAUAUUCCUUAUGUUAUGCGUUAAUUUGAUAUCACUGAAAUAAAAAAAAUAUAUAUAUAUACAUGUUCUGGCGACAGUACUUUUCAUUUUCGUGCAUAAUCAGAGUCCUAACUAUAUGCAGUUUAUAUGGGUAAAUAUAUUUUAAUUUCUUUUUAAAAGGUAUACUUUAUAGAAAAAUAAUAAUAUUGUAUCAAAUACUAUAAAUAGUUGAUAUAGACGUCGUCGUCACUAAUGCACACACAUUAGCUGAGAAAAGCAAACAAAAAUUUCAAUUUUCUGAGCAGCUUAAUUAUAGACCAAUAACCAUGACCAGUUCUACAUGUCUUAAAAAAUAAAUGUUAAUGGAAAAAGUUCAUUAACAUUGAUGACCCUAGCAGUUACAGAAGUGAACACCAUAUUGAUGGUAUCAAUUGUCGAUGAAUAUAAAAAUAGAUUUUGUGAUCGGUAACAACCACCAGUAGACAGUUUUAGAAUUAUUACAACUCCCAUCUCUCUCUCUCUCUAUCUCUCUCUCUCUCUCUCUCUCUCUCUCUCUCUCUCUCUCAUAUUCCUUUCUCUAUUUUGUAGACAACUGUAUCAAGUGCCAGUGAGUUGGUACGACAUCGACAGGAAGCUAUACACUGUGAACAUUGGCAACACCGAACAUGUAAUUCAGGAAUCAGUAGACAACGGUAUCGGGAACUGGCUAGACAACAGGAGAGUUUUGAGUGGACAUGUGCUGACUGCAGCGGAACUACAGAUGUUAACUUUGAAACAAAUAAUAUUAAAUUUCACAUUUAACAUGCCUUAUACCACCUUCACACUCACGGAUUUUUCUUACGAGUCCUUACGGAUCUCCGACUCGUAGUCAAUCGCAAGCAUUCGUAAAUCACUCGUCGGUAUCCGUUAAUAACUCGUCACAACUCGCACACAUUCGUAGGGAUCCGUGAAAUUAGGGGCAAAUUUUUUGACAUGUCAAAAAAAAUUCACGAUUGUCCACGGAUUUCAUUUUUCGUAAAUAACCCGUAAAUAACUUGUAACAAUCCGUAAGUAUCCUAAACUGAUCACAAGAACACGUAAACUGCUCGUAAGAAUCCGUAAAACACUCGUAAAAAGUUUUUUUAACGAAUCUUUGCUGUUAGUUUACGAUAUGUUACGGAUAGUUUACGAGUUGUUUACGGAUUAUUACGAAUGCCUAUAAGUGAUAUUUACGAUUUCAUUCACGUCGGGUGAAUCGCUUUACGGAUUGUUCAGAGUCAUUACGAGCACUUUACGUAUAGACACGAUUACUCUACGAGUACAUACUUAAACUUUACGAUUAAAGAAAGGCAUAAAAGACGCAAAAUCUGACAGUUUCUUUCAGUUGUUAUCAAGACAUCAAAGAAGUAACACAUCUUGCAUACAAUAUACAUACAUGCUGUUACAAGUAAUGUCAGUUGUCGAAUGAUGAUACAAAGCCAAUUGCGAACACUUUUGAGUCAAAAACGUAAACAAUCGUUACUAACUCUUAACUAUUCGUAACAGCACAUUAUCAACACGUUAACAGGUGGUAAUUUACACGUAAAAGCAAAGUUAAAUCGUAAAUUUUCGUAAAAUACUCGUAACAAUCCCUAAAUCGUAAAUGUGUGCCGUAAAUGCAUCGCAAGAACUCGUAAUAAACCGUAAAUGACCCGUAAAUAUUCAUAAAUACUUUUAAAACGUUCCUAAACAACUUUUUAAAGUGUCUAAAUCGUAACAAUCCAUUUACUUUUACGGAUUUGUGGAAUACGUAAGGAUACGUAAGAAAAUUCCGUGAGUGUGAAGGUACCAUUAUCAUUGGUAUGCAAUAUCAUCUAGUGUUUUUUCUUUAUAUAUGUACUGUGUCAGUUGUGUAUUAGUUUUUGUGCUAAUAUACUGGAUCAUCUGUAUUGUAAUAAAAAUAUAGUACAGAAUUGAAAUUGAACAGUGUUCCUUGCUUUAAUGUGAAACUUAAACGGUACCAAUUUUUAUGCACCAGAUUCGCAUUUCAACAAAUAAUGUCAAUAAUGUCCCUUCAGUAAUGCUGAAGCCUAAAACGUUGGGAAUCCGAAAUGAUAAUAAACUUUGAAGAGUUGGAGAAAAAAGAUCGAGUGCCAAUAAAUGGAGUCAAAUUCACCCAAAGAUCAGAGCUAUGCGAGAGAGAGAGAGA